Long non-coding RNA from Dalotia coriaria, 1623 nucleotides. RefSeq lists it as uncharacterized. Lineage: Eukaryota; Metazoa; Arthropoda; Insecta; Coleoptera; Staphylinidae. The record is from RefSeq and is a predicted model, not a curated record. The transcript has 16 exons.
AGUGUCGUACAUGUAUGGGAUGUGUUUAAGCAGCGCGCUAUAGAUUCUACAGACAGUCGAGCCAGGUCCGUUUUUGAGGUCGGGUAGUUCGGAUGUUUUCCCACGUUUGCAAUAAUAUAAUUCGUUAAAUUGCUGUGAGUUUAAUCAAAUUAGACCAUUAGAGUGUUAACUGCACGCGACCCUGGUGCGUUAUAGUUUCAUUUUGCUCAACGACUAAACGCAAUUCGAAAACAUGUUUAUUCACAAAUACUAAUAAACACACGAAGCCAUGAAAGAUUGAAUAAAUAAAAAUAUUAUGUGCGAGGUGAUAUGAACAGAAGACCACUACAUUUUAGAAGAAACUCGAUCGAAUUCCAGGCGACAAACACCCAAAAUUUACAAACAUCGAUGAAACGGGAUAUUGAACCCACGAAUUGAAUUAUUUAAUUGUAUCUGCUUUAACAGUGUGUUACCUGGGCCAGUGUGUUUGGCCCAGGUAAUUGUUGCAACAGAAAAUAUAUCAAUUAAAAUAUUUCGCACAAUGCUAAUCUUUAAUAGGAAUGUUUUGUCUCGAGCCAAUAGAAUUUGAGGAGUUUUGCACAUAAAUCCGACAUCGUAACGGAACCAGGCCUACAUCAGAUUGCAAGUAUUAAAUUUCUUAAUCUUUUGCAUAAAUAACUUCAGUGAUUAACUCAUUAAUUAGCCACAAAAAAUGCAUUUUGGUGUUUCGAUGGACUUAUUUUUGUUUGUUUUAAAAGUUCUGCACCUUAAUCUGACGUCCUAGGAGAACCAUUUUUGCACCAGAUUAACUAUACCUAUAUCAGACUGGAAGCAUUCUUGCAUCAAAUUGGUUCUGCACCUUACCCCAACGUCCUAGGAGAACCAUUAUUGCAUCAGAUUGGAUUUUGCACCUGUGUCUGACAUCGUAGAUGGACCUUUCUUGCAUAAGAUUGGAUUUUGCACCUGAGUCUGAUAUCGUAGAAGGAUCAUUCUUGCAUCAGACUGGAUUUUGCACUAGAGUCUGACAUCGUAGAAGGACCAUUCUUGCAUCAGAUUAGAUUUUUCACCUGAGUCUGACAUCGUAGAAGGACCAUUCUUGCAUCAGAUUGGAUUUUGCACCUGAGUCUGACAUCGUAGAAGGACCAUUCUUGCAUCAGAUUGGAUUUUGCACCUGAGUCUGACAUCGUAGAAGGACCAUUCUUGCAUCAGAUUGGAUGUUGCACCUGAGUAUGACAUCGUAGAAGGACCAUUCUUGCAUCAGAUUGGAUUUUGCACCUGAGUCUGACAUCGUAGAAGGACCAUUCUUGCAUCAGAUUGGAUUUUGCACCUGAGUCUGACAUCGUAGAAGGACCAUUCUUGCAUCAGAUUGGAUUUUGCACCUGAGUCUGACAUCGUAGAAGGACCAUUCUUGCAUCAGAUUGGAUUUUGCACCUGAGUCUGACAUCGUAGAAGGACCAUUCUUGCAUCAGAUUGGAUUUUGCACCUGAGUCUGACAUCGUAGAAGGACCAUUCUUGCAUCAGAUUGUUAUUAUUAAAUUUCAUUAUCUUAAAUAACUUUUUUGAUUAUUACACAAAUUGACUCCCAAAAUGUAUGUUUGUGUGUUUUCUUUAAUAAAGAAUGUUUUUAAGUUUUUCUAAUUAAAA